GCAUAUCUAUAAGCGGAGGAAAAGAAACCAACAGGGAUUACCUCAGUAACGGCGAAGUGAAGCGGUAACAGCUCAAAUUUGAAAUCUGGGUCUUUCAGGCUCCGAGUUGUAAUUUGUAGAAGAUGCUUCGGGUGCGGCUCCGGUCUAAGUUCCUUGGAACAGGACGUCAUAGAGGGUGAGAAUCCCGUAUGUGAUCGGUUGCUUGCGCCCAUGUGAAGCUCUUUCGACGAGUCGAGUUGUUUGGGAAUGCAGCUCAAAAUGGGUGGUAAAUUUCAUCUAAAGCUAAAUAUUGGCCAGAGACCGAUAGCGCACAAGUAGAGUGAUCGAAAGAUGAAAAGCACUUUGGAAAGAGAGUUAAACAGUACGUGAAAUUGUUGAAAGGGAAGCGCUUGCAACCAGACUUGCGCGUUGCCGAUCAUCUGGGGUUCUCCCCAGUGCACUCGGCCUCGCUCAGGCCAGCAUCGGUUUCGGUGGUGGGAUAAAGGCCUUGGGAAUGUAGCUUCUUUCGGGGAGUGUUAUAGCCCUCGGUGCAAUGCCGCCUACCGGGACCGAGGACCGCGCUUCGGCUAGGAUGCUGGCGUAAUGGUUGUAAGCGACCCGUCUUGAAACACGGACCAAGGAGUCUAACAUCUAUGCGAGUGUUUGGGUGUCAAACCCAUACGCGUAAUGAAAGUGAACGGAGGUGAGAACCCUUAAGGGUGCAUCAUCGACCGAUCCUGAUGUCUUCGGAUGGAUUUGAGUAAGAGCAUAGCUGUUGGGACCCGAAAGAUGGUGAACUAUGCCUGAAUAGGGUGAAGCCAGAGGAAACUCUGGUGGAGGCUCGCAGCGGUUCUGACGUGCAAAUCGAUCGUCAAAUUUGGGUAUAGGGGCGAAAGACUAAUCGAACCAUCUAGUAGCUGGUUCCUGCCGAAG
RNAcentral lists this ribosomal RNA (912 nucleotides) under Leptothyrium gentianicola. RNAcentral's name for it is "LSU rRNA". It matches the Rfam family "Eukaryotic large subunit ribosomal RNA", at positions 38 to 966 of the family's 3401-position model. Lineage: Eukaryota; Fungi; Ascomycota. The record is from RNAcentral.